Molecule: long non-coding RNA, 601 nt
Organism: Sinocyclocheilus rhinocerous
Lineage: Eukaryota; Metazoa; Chordata; Actinopteri; Cypriniformes; Cyprinidae
Exons: 3
Source: RefSeq, a predicted model, not a curated record
CGACGUAUGUCAUGUGAUAAAUAAGCAAAUAUUUUUUAUUUUUCUGAAAUUGUAUGAAGCGCUCCAACACUCACCGUUUGCGUGCCGCACUUCUGCGGCCGAAGUUGAAAAUGGUCGGAUUAUGCGCUUUAAUUUCUGACAUAUCUCAUAUUUAAACAGGAAGUUUGGGCGCGAAAUAUCGAAGUUUCGUUCGGUCACAUGCUUCAUUAUUGUUGCCAGUCGGUUGCAAAGUACAAUAAUCUCUUUUUUAAAACUGUCUUUGUACAACAAGAGAUGCGUACAUAUUCCUCAGAAAUCCUCUUUUUGUGGACCCACGGAAGAAAGAUCGAGGUUUGAAGGACUUCAUCUGAAAGACCUACUACACCGUAGGCACAGACCUACAGCAUUUAGACAUUCAAGUCCUAUUAAGCAUCUGGUCACAAGGGAUAUGAAGCUGGUUAGCCGUGCUGUGGCUGUGGGUUGCGGAGGCUUUGGAAAACUGCCCCAGUGCUUGUAAAUGUAGUCAGAAAUCCAGUACGGAAAAGACUGAAGUCAAUUGUCAAAAGAAGGGACUUGACAGCAUCCCACCUAAACUCCCUCUGGACACAUAGAUCCUUAAAAU